This 253-nucleotide ribosomal RNA is filed under the name uncultured bacterium. Its description in RNAcentral is "partial 16S ribosomal RNA". It matches the Rfam family "Bacterial small subunit ribosomal RNA", at positions 524 to 776 of the family's 1533-position model. The record is from RNAcentral.
UACGUAGGGGGCUAGCGUUGUCCGGAUUUCUUGGGCGUAAAGAGCGUGUCGGCGGCCAUGUAGGUCCGGUGUGAAAACUCGAGGCUUAACCUCGAGAUGUCAUCGGAAACCAUUUGGCUAGAGUCCGGAAGAGGAAAGUGGAAUUCCUGGUGUAGCGGUGAAAUGCGCAGAUAUCAGGAAGAACACCAAUGGCGAAAGCAGCUUUCUGGGACGGUACUGACGCUGAGACGCGAAAGCGUGGGGAGCGAACAGG